RNAcentral lists this unclassified non-coding RNA (319 nucleotides) under Clostridioides difficile. RNAcentral describes it as "16S-23S ribosomal RNA intergenic spacer (ISR)". Lineage: Bacteria; Bacillati; Bacillota; Clostridia; Peptostreptococcales; Peptostreptococcaceae. The record is from RNAcentral.
ACCUACUGUUUAAUUUUGAGGGUUCGUUUUUACGAAUACUCAAAAUUAGCACUUUAAGCAACGGGAUUUAUCCGUUGGCGCUGUGGAUUAGCACUUUUAGCAACAGAAUAAACUGAACGCAUGUGAAGUUUGUUUGUUGGCGCUGUGCGUUAGCACUUUUAGCAACGGAAUUUAUUCGUUGGCGCCGUGCUUUAGCACUUUGAAAACUGCAUAUAUAUUUAGUGAUAUGACAUCUAAUUUGUAAUAUAUAAAGCUGAUAACUUUUUAAAAUUAUCGAAGUUGAUAGCUUCUAAUCUAUCAAACCUUUUUAACUGGUCAA